UUGAAGUAAACAAUAUACCCUUUUUGGAGUCGCCCAUCCUCGCAGUCAUGCUACAUGACGGCCAGAUCAGUACUCAGGUGGGUGACCACUGGGGAAUCCCUGGUGUUGUAUGUUUUUG
This 118-nucleotide ribosomal RNA is filed under the name Podospora comata. The record is from RNAcentral. Lineage: Eukaryota; Fungi; Ascomycota; Sordariomycetes; Sordariales; Podosporaceae.